ACUCGGGCCGGCGGACAGUGAGGGCGCGACAAGGGAGGUGUCACAGUUUUCCAUUUAGAUCAACAACUUCAAGUUCUUACCAUGGAAAAUUCCGAGAAGACUGAAGUGGUUCUCCUUGCUUGUGGUUCCUUCAAUCCCAUCACCAACAUGCACCUCAGGUUGUUUGAGCUGGCCAAGGACUACAUGAAUGGAACAGGUAGGAGCAGUAACCAAAAGCGGCUUAAGACUAGAGAACCAGCCGGGCACGGUGGCUCACACCUGCAAUCCCAGCAUUUUGGAAGGCUGAGACGGGCAGAUCACAAGGUCAAGAGAUCGAGACCAUCCUAGCCAACAUGAUAAAACCGCGUCUCUACUAAAAAAUACAAAAAUUAGCUGUGCCUGUAGUCCUAGCUACUCGGGAGGCUGAGGCAGUAGAAUCGCUUGAACCCGGGAGGCGGAGGUUGCAGUGAGCUGAGAUUGCCGCAGUGCACUCCAGCCUGGAGACAGAGCGAGACGCCAACUCAAAAAAAAA
This 511-nucleotide small RNA is filed under the name Pongo abelii (Sumatran orangutan). Its description in RNAcentral is "processed transcript". The record is from RNAcentral. Lineage: Eukaryota; Metazoa; Chordata; Mammalia; Primates; Hominidae.